Molecule: long non-coding RNA, 1185 nt
Organism: Pelodiscus sinensis (Chinese soft-shelled turtle)
Lineage: Eukaryota; Metazoa; Chordata; Testudines; Trionychidae
Source: RefSeq, a predicted model, not a curated record
UUGACCUCCUGGUGUGAUUCGCUAAGUCUUCAAACUAAUCCGUUGUACAAGUGCUUUAUACCCAACAAUCUGAUCUUUUUCUCUCUUUUCAAGAUGGACAAUUCUAUUUUCCACUUCACCAAGAUGAGAGUCAAAAGUCUUUGAUUCAUACUCCACAGUUCUCUCAUUUACCGACAGUUCCAUUACAGAGGUUUUGGACUAUCCAUUUUGCUUUCAGUGUCACCGAAUUAUCGGUAUCGUGAAGUGCCCAAGCUUUGUAAGGCAGCAGACCAGCCACUCAGUUUCGACCCCUGUUAAUAAAGUCUUGGGACAUGGAGGGGUUCUGAGCUGUGGUACACCUUUGGCAGAACAGCUGCUCUGAUGGGAAUAGACAAAUAUCACCUACAGUGACCAUGACUGCCAAAUAGAGCUGUUGCAGAAAUGCAGAUCAAUGCUAAAUGACAUUUGCAGAAACUAACUAAAGUCGCUAUAUCCAAGAGGCAGCACUGAGGACAACAUUUGGCAAUUGGUCUAAUGCCUAUUUUAUUGAUAUUUUUACAGUGUACAGAUAUUGCAAUAAGAAUUGCCCACCACUGAACACUUAGCCUACAAAGAGCCCGGCACUAACUAGUACUUUGUAACACAAAAGCAAUAUAUCAUGAAGUAAAUAGGAUUGUCCCCCACACAGUCAUAUUUAGCAAAAAUUAAAACCUUAAAUGUGUGCCAUUUAUUGCUCUGUUCUUAACCAGUGAAGUUGGUGACUGUGGCUAUAUGCCAGUUUUACAGCUGUUAUUCAGGGCAGCCUCUAUCCAUCAUUGCUGCAUUUAAACAAGAAUGUCUCAUCUGGGUAGCUAUGCUCACAGUGGAAAAAUCAAGUUGAGAAACAGAACAUUAUGUUGACUAUUCAAUACAUAUAUUGCAGUAGUGCCUACCGGGGCCCUGCAGUGAGAGACCCAUUAUGCUGGGUGCAGAACUAAUGUAGAAAAUAGGACAAGAUUCAAUGUUGCCCACUUUUAGAUCCAAUGUUGCCAAUUCUUGUAAAUGUAUCGUAACUUUUCCAAUAUUUGGUGUGUUUUUAAAGCCCCGGCUGCUGGAUUCAGAUUAUUUCUUGAGAAUUUCAACUUUUCUUUUUUAAAUAAAGCAUGUUUCUAGCCCUACAGCUGCAGAAAAACAUGUGAAAAUGAGAAUGCUAAAUGUUCCACUGAC